UUCAGCCUGAUAAUAGCUACAUAGGAUAUUUGCUUUCUCCAUAGGGCUUGCUCCAGGCUAAGGGAAGGCAAGGGCUUGUGCCCGUUCUGUACAUGGCUCAUUCCCCAGGGCCUGGGAGCUGUAGCCCUUGUUUGCUGGAGCUUGUGUAUCUCUCAUUCAUAUAUAAAAUAUAUAUAAUUCAUAUAUAGAUGAGUCCAGCCUAACCUUCCCCCCCUCCUUUGGGUGGUUCCCCAGCUAAGGAGGCAGGAAUAUGGCUUCAGACCCUAUUUAAAGCAGGCCUCCUUUCCAGCUCUGCUAGCAGGGGUUGGUGGUAGUGUAAACCCGAUGCUUGGAGGUAAUCCAACAACCCCCUUCCCCUGUGCCCUACCUCUGGUGACUCCCAGUGCUGCUCUGGGCGUCCAUGCUAGUGUCCUUGCUAUGUCCCAUUCACCUCCAGUGCAAGGACUGGGGUAACACCACCGCUGUGCUCCCUGACUCGGGCUUUCCCAGGCAGCAGCAAUGUCCCAGUGAGACCUUGAAGCCUACAGCUAGAUAGCUGGGAGACCUGUGUAUCCAAACUGGGGGGGGCACAGCCUGUAGUUGCCAUGCUGAUGUGGGGUAGUGCUACGUGUUGUGCUGAAAUGCUUCAGUGACUCAUUACUGGGGAUUUUAAUGAGGGGUAACAACACCUACAGUGACUAUUGUUUGUGGUUUGGCCAAGCUGAAUGUCAGGGUAAUAGUACUUAGCCUUUAUAUAGCAUUUUGAGCUUUAAAUUACUAAUUGACCUUCUCCAUCUGUUUGAGAGGCAGGUCAUUUUAUCCCUGUGAUACCGGGCUAGCCUUACACCUAUUGUUGAGUGGUAUCGGAGCAGCUCAUGUGCAUGGGGAAGCUGGUGUCCGGCAAGCCGGGGUGGGAACUGCAGUGGCCGCACAGCCUCUGCAAGGACACUUCCCGUGUGCGGUCGGUGGCAAGUCUGCUCUCAAUAGCUUGCCACAUAGGCAAGAUCAAGGCUCAAGUGAAUCCAGCCCUGGAAAACCCCUGCAAAGUCAGGAUCUCAUUCCUAGACCACGCAGGUUGCUUGUUGACGUGGAGGAGUCGUGAUGCUAUAAGCCCAUGGGGUUUAAUGAGGGGAGUUAACGGCCUCCAAGUUGCUCUGCUAACCAGCUCCUGGUGUGCAUGGUUAGGACAACAUAGCUCACUCCAGUUGCUGAGCAGAGCCCUUGCUAUUAAAGCUUCAUUCGGUGCUUGCAGAUGCCACAGGCAGCUCUUCACCGGGAACGGGGCAGUGCACGGUGCUGGGAUCCCUGCGGUUAGAAGAAGAGGAGCACAGGGGAGCCGAGUCUCGGGGUUGCUUGAAGGAUGCCCAGCACAGAGACCGCAGGGGCUAUGACAUAGUGGUGACAUCGGGCAGAGAGGCAGAGUCCUAUCUGGUUUCAAGGACUGCACCGAGUGGUUUGCAAGAGGGGAAAUGGUGAUGACGGAAGAAGCCUCCUGCUGGGGUGCAGAAUCUGUGAUGCAUCUGUGAGGACCUUGCAGUGGGGAGAGCUCCUGCGUGGCUCAUGGGUGGGGGCUGGCAUGUGUAGGGCAGUGCCCUGCUGAAGCCGGCUGGCCCACUUGCUGCUCAGGGCCCUUCUGAGCUGGCCUCGCGGUCUCCUUUCCAGGCACUAGCACGAUGGAGCAGGCAGGGCAAGCCUGACAGCAACUGCCCAUCAUGGCACAGAGGCCAGGGGGACAUGCCCCUGUGAUGCUGCCCGGUUGGGGGUCCAGCUGGCCUGUUACCCCACGGGUCAUAAUAAGCCCUGAGCUUGGGUGGUGCUUUGCUCUUGGCAGCAUCCUGCACUGCACCUCCCUCUCCUGGCCAUGUCUACUGUGGUUUUCCUGUGCCCCGAGACACGGAUGAACAGGCUCUGAGGGCCUCUGAGCUGAUCUAGGGGGCAGGGAUGCUUUCUCCGCGUCCGAGUGCACGUGCAGGGCCUCGGGCACCGGUCUCUCUGCCCCGGUCCCAGUAGAGGGCAAUAGAGAACUUUGCAAGCCGACGGCACGCACAUCGGCAGAGAUGAGAUACCCGCAGCACCGUGAUUUGAGUCAAAGGACUUGAACCCAGGGCAUGGAGGCAAAUGCUUGCACAUCUUGUGACCGAGUGCCUGAGCUGCCCGGCAGGGUUAAGUAGCAAUAAAUGCACCUGGCACCGGAGCUGCCUCCAGGGUCAACGCUGGGGUGGUCGCUGACCCGACCGCCGGCAAGGGCACAGCUGCCCUGUUGCUGCCUGGGAGAGCUGUCUGGCUGCUCCUAGGAAGGGGCUGUGCUGUCCCCUUGGUGGCUGGGGCAAGAAGAAGGGUGCCUGGAUUUGCUCUCUGCCAGUUUUGGGAAUGCAGCCCCUUUGCAGCCAGGAUGGGGACCUGUCCAGCGGCUUAACCCCAGCCUGCGCACUGCUGCUCUGCAUAGCAGGCAGGCCGGCUUCCCCAUGCAGCAGAGAAGACCGGCAUGCGUGUCUGUCUGAGCAUCUCCUGGCUCUGCUCGGCUGGCUCUCUGCUUUGCGGCGUGGGCCCUGCUGCCACGCUUGGUGUCAGGUUCUCCUCCGCCUGCUGAGUCUGCCCUCGGGGGAGCAGGAGCUCUCAGGCAGCGAGUAGCUCCUGCUGAACAGCGCGGUUGGGCGGGGAGCCUGCUGUCAUGCUCUGGUUCCUAUUAAAGCAUGCCAGCAUGCUCAGCCAGGAGCAGGGGCUGCCUUUGCCCUGAGUUUGCUGCCCCAGCUUUGCCAAGGUGGGAGGAUUCCCUACUUGCUGCAGGUCCGAUGCAGCCAGCAGAGUCCUACCGUGGCUGGUGGAGCUUUGCCCCCUGAAGCCAGCAGUUGCUAAACCUCUCUGUGCGAGCUGGGUUGUAUGCACGGGGUGACAGCAACCCACGGGCACCCAGCAAGCUUCCAGGGGCACUGCUCUGGUUUGAAUAGAGCAGCCACUUGGGGCAAAGCAUGGUCCUGGCAAGAGGCCGGGCUGUUCUCUGGACCCUGGCAAGGAAAGGUUUAUUGCCUGCUCAGCCCCACUCCUGCCCGGGUCUGGCACAGGUCUCGGCAGUGGCUGCUUGGGGAAGGGAGACAAGGAAGCUUGGGAAGCCAGGACUCGGCUCCAAGGGCUUCGGAUUCCAGCUCUUUAGGUUGCAUCUGUGCUGCUGUGUCCCUGGAGGGAGGAGGCUUUGCUGACUGCCUCCCCAAGUCUUGCACUGAGUCACGCCCGGGUGUACAGACGCCUGGCACUGCUGCGUCUGCUUGCAGUUCCCCGAGAUGCUUUCCCAGCUCCUGGCUGCCUCGGCCUCUGUCCCCAGGGACCGAGCAGGAAGGGCGUGGGGAAGGCUGGCAGGGCACAGAUCCAUGGCUGCUUUCCUGCUCUGCUGACGGCAGCUUUGCAGGGCACUAGCACGCCUGGGUGAUGCCAACGCUGACCCCAGCCAGGCAAACCCGAAGUGAAUCCUAAUUCUGGCACCCGAAUCCUACGAUUGGAAAUGCAGAAGUGUCUUUGGGUGUCUGAGCCAUUGGGUGUUUUCAAGCUCUUUUUCUCUCCGCAGCCAGUAGAGACAGGAUUUUUCCCCUCCUCUUUCCAAUGCAGCGAUCACAGGAGUCCGGGAGCAGGGGCAGCCUCGGAGCCCUUCUGGGUUCAGCAUAGAGGAGCUGCCUCUGCCUGUCUUCUGGCCUGGGGACACAGGACAGCUCUCGUGCCUCUCCUCUGUGGGGGCUCAGGGUCUGGGGUGGAGGCGGCAGGGCCCCGCAGCUGGGGGAGGAAGGUGGGUGGCACUGGAGUUUGGGUCUGUUCGGAUCCAGGCAGAACCAGAUUUCUGUACGUGCAGAUGCACGUGGCAGCCGAGAGCCGGGGCACGGCAGGAACAGGCGGGCCCAGGGCUAACACAACUGCACCGCCGUGCUGGGUGGGAUCGGGGUUGGUGCAUUGACAGCUACCUGCUAUGACCCCGGCCUGGGUCUUCCUCCCCCUUCCAGCAGCUAAAGCAUGCCAGUAGCUUGAGUCACCUACCUGCCCAGUUUGCUGGGACUUGCAUCUCCAGCUGUUAAACCCAGCUUUACACCCGGCCCAGAUGCACACACAUCCUGCUCACGAGACCCAGGAGGGCACCAUUGCAAACUCUUUGCACGUGCAUUUGCGGCGGUUGCUGGUUCAGAUGCAACACGGUCCAUCUCUUGUUUACGGCCAGCUUUUUUUUUUGGCAUCUGGGAUAUCUGCGCACGUCCCGACGUCUGAUGAGUGUUGAUUCUCCAUUCAAUUUCCCUCGCCCAAAACCGUCCCGUUGCCUUUCCCUCCCCGCUCCUCCUCCCCUUUCACAGAUCAAAAAAGCAUUGUCAGCCGCGGCAAAAUAUUUAAGAAAUAUAUUAAUCCCGAUGCUCGCGGCACUUAAAAAAAUUGUGUUUAAACAAACUCCAAAUCGUGCAUUAAAGCAAACACAGCUGUUUAAUUACAGGCUGCAUUUCAAGCAGCCGAUAGCACGUGGGUGCUAGGGGCUGCGUAUCCACCGCGUAUUGGGCCUGGCUUUCUCCCGCCUCCUCCUUUGCUUGUUGGGUUUGAUUUUUUUUUUUUAAUUUAUUUUUUUUGUUCCCCCCUUGGUAUCCGCGAGCAAGAGGUUUUUGCUGCGGCUGUUUGGGGGAUAGGAGCAAACCGUUCCCGUCUCAUCCUCCCUUUGGCAGCCCGGCAUGCUAAAAAUGUGUUUGUGUUUCUCCCUUUGUGCUCUGCUUUAUGGGGCUUUCUCUCCUCCGCCCUGAAGGAGUGGAUGGCUUUUACAUGUGCUUUUGCCAUCUGUUUUACCCAUUGGGCCUGUAUGCAGAGAUAACCUCAUACUGGGACGGGGGAGCCUUGACACAAGCCAGCGUUGGGAAAGACUUCCUCCCGCGACUCCUUUUUCUUAGAGGAAUUAAGUGUUAAGAAAUCCUCAACUAUCUGUGCAGCUGGAGGUCUCCGAGGAGGCCCAGAUCCUCUCGGCGCUGAUAAACCCUGCUUGGCAUCUGAAGAAUGCGGCGCGGAGUUGGCCGGACAAACCGAGCGCACGCCGAGCGGGGGGCUGGGUUCGCCGUAUGCGAUGCAAGGAGUUUAUAAGAGCCAUUUGGUGAAGGCUCAAGCCAGGCUCUUGCCAGGGGGUGUAUUUUGUUGGAUCGAUACCGUGUCUGAGGCAUGCUGGCUUCCAAGGAAACAGUGAUGUUAUAUGUUAUUGCUACGCAGAUGGGGCCAAAUUCACCCCUGCUGCCUGCGCUUCCAGCCCUGGAUUACACCCUUGGAGCGGGUUUGGCCUGGGGAGAUUGAAUAGCUGGUUGCAAAAAAAAAAAAGCAUAACUUUAGGAUGAACCACGCUUUAAUUUGAAGUCCCUGCCGGGCUCCUGCAGGGAAGGCAGCCAAGGAGAGGCGCCUAGCAGGGGAUUGCCCUCUCCCAGGGUGGUUGGGACACAGAUGGCUGCUGGGGUUUCUUUCCCCCUCUUUGGGGGUACGGGGGAGCUCUGUGGUCAGGAGAAAGGAGAUCAUUGCCCCUGCCCCUCUCCGCUGGUAUGCCGGGGCCCCACACGCAGGUCUGCGGAUGCACAUCGGUCCUGCCCGGUGUCUCUCCUCCCUCUCCCAAGCAUCCCCCAUGCAGCCCUGCCAGCGCCUCUCCAGCUUGCGGUGUGGCCAAGCCUCCCUGGAGCAGACGGAGCCAAUCCCGUGGUAUUCAGCGCAGUUUUUCUCCGCGCACACAAUGGAGACUAGCGGGGGGCUCCCGCGUUCAUUCAGCAGAAGAGGCCGGUGCAAAGUCCAGCCGGCCAGGCUGGGGCAGGGGGUCAACCCUGGGCUGCCCCAAGGCAGCGGGAGGCCUUCUCCGGAGGAGCAAGGCGGGUUGGCGUUGCGUGGCGUGGUCCUGGAGGGCAGCCGCCGUGUUUGAUUUCCCCUCGGAGGCUGCACCUUCCCCUCGGCCGCUCCAGUGCCGGCGACAUGUGCCAUUUCAGGCGAAACAUUGCAGCCUUUGUCUCGCUCCAGGCACAGAGCAGGCCAUUUAGGAGGAAUUAGUGGUUACGUUGAAAGGGGAGAAUAAAGGCUUCCAGGUUAAACGCGCUUUAAGUGUCUUAAUAAUUGCA
Molecule: long non-coding RNA, 6074 nt
Organism: Alligator mississippiensis (American alligator)
Lineage: Eukaryota; Metazoa; Chordata; Crocodylia; Alligatoridae
Exons: 3
Source: RefSeq, a predicted model, not a curated record